Molecule: ribosomal RNA, 532 nt
Filed under: Rhizopogon subclavitisporus
Lineage: Eukaryota; Fungi; Basidiomycota; Agaricomycetes; Boletales; Rhizopogonaceae
Description: eukaryotic LSU rRNA
Rfam family: 5.8S ribosomal RNA (bases 146-300)
Source: RNAcentral
UGUGAACCUAAUGUAGGAUGCCUCUCCUCCGGGAGGGGGGACCUAUGUCUUCAUAUACAUCUUCGUGUAGAAAGUCUUAGAAUGUUUACUAUCAGAGAGUCGCGACUUCUAGGAGACGCGAAACUCUUGAGAUAAAAGUUAUUACAACUUUCAGCAAUGGAUCUCUUGGCUCUCGCAUCGAUGAAGAACGCAGCGAAAAGCGAUAUGUAAUGUGAAUUGCAGAUCUACAGUGAAUCAUCGAAUCUUUGAACGCACCUUGCGCUCCUCGGUGUUCCGAGGAGCAUGCCUGUUUGAGUGUCAGUAAAUUCUCAACCCCUCUUGAUUUUUUUUGAGGGAGUUUGGAUAGUGGGGGUUGCCGGAGACUAAUAAGACUCGGGCUCUCCUGAAAUGCAUUGGCUUGCGAUAGACUUUCGACUUUGCGCGACAAGGCUUUCGGCGUGAUAAUGAUCGCCGUUCGCUGAAGCGCAUGAAUGAAGGUUUCGCGCCUCUAAUAUGUCGACUCUUAUUAUCUCUUCGGAGAGAAAAGGUCUUC